CCUACGGGAGGCUGCAGUGAGGAAUAAUGGUCAAUGGGCGCGAGCCUGAACCAGCCAAGUAGCGUGAAGGAUGACAGCCCUACGGGUUGUAAACUUCUGUUAUAAAGGAAUAAAGUGAGGCAAGUGGGCCAUUUUGUAUGUACGUUAUGAAUAAGGAUCGGCUAACUCCGUGCCAGCAGCCGCGGUAAGACGGAGGAUCCGAGCGUUAUCCGGAUUUCUUGGGGUUAAAGGGAGCGUAGAGGGGUUGUUACGUCAGUUGUGAAAGUUUGCGGCUCAACCAUAAAAUUGCAAUUGAUACUGGCAGUCUUGCGUACAGUUGCGGUAGGCGGCAUUCUUGUUGUAGCGG
Molecule: ribosomal RNA, 346 nt
Filed under: uncultured bacterium
Lineage: Bacteria
Description: partial 16S ribosomal RNA
Rfam family: Bacterial small subunit ribosomal RNA
Source: RNAcentral